This 520-nucleotide non-coding RNA is filed under the name uncultured Paraglomus. RNAcentral describes it as "SSU rRNA". It matches the Rfam family "Eukaryotic small subunit ribosomal RNA", at positions 569 to 1089 of the family's 1831-position model. The record is from RNAcentral. Lineage: Eukaryota; Fungi; Glomeromycota; Glomeromycetes; Paraglomerales; Paraglomeraceae. RNAcentral also lists the same sequence under 1 other name.
AGCAGCCGCGGUAAUUCCAGCUCCAAUAGCGUAUAUUAAAGUUGUUGCAGUUAAAAAGCUCGUAGUUGAACUUCGGGGUUUACUCAUUGGUCAGGCUUAAUUGUCUGUACUGGUGAGAUGAAUCUCUACCUUCUGAGGAACUUUCAUGCCAUUUAUUUGGUGUGGUUGGAAAUCAGGACUGUUACUUUGAAAAAUUAGAGUGUUUAAAGCAGGCUAACGUCUGAAUACAUUAGCAUGGAAUAAUGAAAUAGGACGGAUUGAUUCUAUUUCGUUGGUUUCUAGGGUCACCGUAAUGAUUAAUAGGGAUAGUUGGGGGCAUUAGUAUUCAAUUGUCAGAGGUGAAAUUCUUGGAUUUAUUGAAGACUAACUACUGCGAAAGCAUUUGCCAAGGAUGUUUUCAUUAAUCAAGAACGAAAGUUAGGGGAUCGAAGACGAUCAGAUACCGUCGUAGUCUUAACCAUAAACUAUGCCGACUAGGGAUCGGACGCAGUUAAUUUUAUAAUGACGUGUUCGGCACCUU